AAUAUUCUGCCCGGUACGCGGACUGUUGCAAAAUAACCCUACAAAGAUUUAAUCGGGAGUUUGGCUCCGGCAGUGGACUUCAGACCUCCCGGCUUCGGCCGGACGAAGGGAGUAUGAAGCUGUUGGGCGGACACCCACCUGCUGUUUGGUAGCAGGUUAUCUUAGCACAUUACGGCCGGGUGGAAUUCCU
This 190-nucleotide non-coding RNA is filed under the name Candidatus Gallacutalibacter pullicola. RNAcentral's name for it is "6S RNA". It matches the Rfam family "6S / SsrS RNA". Rfam says of the family: E. coli 6S RNA was the first non coding RNA to be sequenced, but its function was unknown until recently. The record is from RNAcentral. Lineage: Bacteria; Bacillati; Bacillota; Clostridia; Eubacteriales.